UACGUAGGGUGCAAGCGUUGUCCGGAAUUAUUGGGCGUAAAGAGCUCGUAGGCGGUCUGUCGCGUUGUUCGUGAAAACUCACAGCUCAACUGUGGGCGUGCGGGCGAUACGGGCAGACUAGAGUACUGCAGGGGAGACUGGAAUUCCUGGUGUAGCGGUGGAAUGCGCAGAUAUCAGGAGGAACACCGGUGGCGAAGGCGGGUCUCUGGGCCAUUACUGACGCUGAGGAGCGAAAGCGUGGGGAGCGAACAGG
This 253-nucleotide ribosomal RNA is filed under the name uncultured bacterium. RNAcentral describes it as "partial 16S ribosomal RNA". It matches the Rfam family "Bacterial small subunit ribosomal RNA", at positions 524 to 776 of the family's 1533-position model. The record is from RNAcentral.